GACGAACGCUGGCGGCGUGCUUAACACAUGCAAGUCGAGCGGAGCGGCGAACGGGUGAGUAACGCGUGAGUAACUGCCCCCCUCUCUGGGAUAACCGUUGGAAACGGCUGCUAAUACCGGAUAGUGGGGGAUGACUCGGGGCCUAUCAGCUUGUUGGUGGGGUAGUGGCCUACCAAGGCGACGACGGGUAGCCGGCCUGAGGGGGCGACCGGCCACAUGGGGCUGAGAUAGGCCCCAAACUCCUACGGGAGGCAGCAGGGGGGAAUAUGGCACAAGGGGGGAGACUCUGAGGCAGCAACGUCGCGUGCGGGAUGACGGCCUUCGGGUUGUAAACCGCUUGCAGCAAUGACGCGGUAGUGGCAGAAGAAGCACCGGCUAACUACGUGCCAGCAGCCGCGGUAAUAC
This 405-nucleotide ribosomal RNA is filed under the name uncultured bacterium. Its description in RNAcentral is "partial 16S ribosomal RNA". It matches the Rfam family "Bacterial small subunit ribosomal RNA", at positions 28 to 526 of the family's 1533-position model. The record is from RNAcentral.